GCGAGCGUUAAUCGGAAUUACUGGGCGUAAAGCGCAUGCAGGUGGUUUGUUUAAGUUCAGAUGUGAAAGACCCGGGGCGUCAACCUCGGAAUAGCAUUUGAAACUAGGCAGACUAGAGUACUGUAGAGGGGGGGUAGGAAUUUCAGGUGUAGCGGUGAAAAUGCGUAGAGAUCUGAAGGAAUACCGGUGGCGAAGGCGGCCCCCUCGGACAGAUACUGACACUCAGAUGCGAAAGCGUGGGGAGCAAACAGGAUUAGAUACCCUGGUAG
This 269-nucleotide ribosomal RNA is filed under the name uncultured bacterium. RNAcentral describes it as "partial 16S ribosomal RNA". It matches the Rfam family "Bacterial small subunit ribosomal RNA", at positions 534 to 793 of the family's 1533-position model. The record is from RNAcentral.